RNAcentral lists this transfer RNA (101 nucleotides) under bacterium. RNAcentral describes it as "tRNA-OTHER". It matches the Rfam family "tRNA". Rfam says of the family: Transfer RNA (tRNA) molecules are approximately 80 nucleotides in length. Their secondary structure includes four short double-helical elements and three loops (D, anti-codon, and T loops). The record is from RNAcentral.
GCCGGUGUAGCUCAGAUGGUAGAGCACCGCCCCACUUUCCUCGGCUUUCCCUGAGUGGAGAGAGGCGGAGGUCAGAGGUUCAAGUCCUCUCACUGGUACCA